This 1642-nucleotide long non-coding RNA is filed under the name Arabidopsis thaliana (thale cress). Its description in RNAcentral is "ncRNA (AT4G09695)". The record is from RNAcentral. Lineage: Eukaryota; Viridiplantae; Streptophyta; Magnoliopsida; Brassicales; Brassicaceae.
UCCCUUGCUUGUAACAUUGAGAAAUCAAAACUCUCACAUAUGUUGUACAUGUAAACACAAAACAGAAGACAGAGCUGAUCUCUUUUAUUCCAAACCAUCAAAAUACAAAUACAAUCACAGUUACUCUUAAAACCACAACCAAUUCCAUAUACAUAAUUGCACACAAGGAGAGAAAAACCUCUCCAAUCUCUGACUUCACGGACGCUCACACUUUGACAGAGAAGAUCUCACUCAGGGAACUCCAAGUUCCCGACACAGCAAGAACCACACCUAGUACCACAAUCGCUGUGUCUGAACUCCAUUGCAGCCACCCCAUCUCUUCCUUGAACACCAAUAAAUGAAACAAUGCAGGUAACACAAAGCCUAACACACAGCAAGUGCUGCUGCCAACCAAUGACAAAAAAUCUGCAAAGUUUGGCACAAAAAGAGCCACCAGAGUCACUGCUAAGACGAGUACCCAUCUGAGCCACGCAGAGUACAUCCCGCGUGAGAAACGCCUCUCCACUAUCUCAAACACUGGAUUCAUCAUCAAGGGGAAGGUGAAGAAGAGGUUGAUGCACAGUCCAAGCUGGACAACAGUGCUGACAAGUCCUGCCCCCAAGUUAGCAGUGAUAAUGUCCAUGGUGUCCUCACCAAAAGCCAAGUAACCUAAGAUACCAAAUGCGAUGUAUAUGAGAGAGAUGAAUCCCAUGCCGAGAGCCAAGACUUUGCCAAACUUGUCCUUGUCCUUCAUCUCCGAUUCAAGAGGCAAGACCAUUCCAACGCCUUCGAAGGAAUAGACAGCGACGCCCAUACCAUACAAGAAGAGGGACAUACCACCAAAGGCAACCACGUCAGGCCUUUGCUUGAGUAUAAUCAUGGAAUCCUCAACAAUGACCACAGCCAUAGCGCCAAGAUCAACAAUAUCGGCGAAGAUGCUGAGAGGAGCCAAGUGAGUGAGCGUCUUGAUCGAAUUCAAACCGAGCUGAAAGGGAAAGCAUCCCCAUAUGUAGAGACUCUUAGAAGACACGCCCAGGAAUUCAGAACCCAGCCUUGUAAACUGAUGCCUCAGACUGGUGGGCGAUUCAGGAUCGGAUAGAUUAGCUAAAGUAGUGCCGAUGAAGAUAAGAUAUCCGACACAAAAACCAGCUUGAGACAGAAUGAUAAAUAAGUCAACGACGAUCCUCCCCAAGGAGCCGCAGACGGCGAAUCCAAGGUCACCAAAAGAGCCGAUCUUGGAGAUGCCAGCAUUGAAAGAGUCGAGCUUGCGGCGGGUAUAGACAAGAAGCAUCAUACAGUGAUGGGUCAAAACAGAGACGGAGACGAGGAGGAGGACACCCAUGAGCCAUCCGGUUCGCUUGAAGGCGUAAGGAAGACCAAGAACACCAGCGCCGACGACAGCGAUGAAGACGUUGGCGAAGGUCUUAAACUGGCUGGAGAGGGGAGGUCCCUUGCCGAGAAGAGGCGAGUCCUCUCUGGCCGGUGGAGGUAUUUUAAGGGUAUAAGAGGAGGAGCUAGCUUCGUUCUGAAAACCCAUCUGAUGAUUUUCGACCGAAUCUCAGAAAUCGAAGAAGAUGGGGAUGGAUAUUGGCGAAUGGCGACAGCAAGAUAAUUGGAUGAAUUGCGUGUAGAGUUGGUGGACUCUCUUUUUUGGUUUGUUGUC